This is a long non-coding RNA of Serinus canaria (Common canary), 1095 nucleotides long. RefSeq lists it as uncharacterized. The record is from RefSeq and is a predicted model, not a curated record. Lineage: Eukaryota; Metazoa; Chordata; Aves; Passeriformes; Fringillidae. The transcript is spliced from 2 exons.
CAGCCGCGCCGCCUUCGUGAGGGGCGAGUCGGGAUCGUGUCAUCCGCCCUGGGCUGUCACCCGCCCCAGGCUGACGCGUGGGCCAAACGCGAUCGUGUCACCCGCCCGGAGUGACCUCCUGAGCCGAGAGCGGCCCCGCGUUCCCUGCGCACGGCCCGGGAGGCGCCGCUCCAUCCCAACAUGGCGGGUGCUGCCGCUUCGUAGCCCGCCCGGCUGUCAGCACUGCCGCGGGCACGGACGGGCCGGGGAGGUCACGGGUGAAGAGCGGCUGUCGUGGUGCAGCAUUACCUAUGCUUAAGGUGUACUUAGGCUCAGAGCUGUUCCUGCCCAAAGCCCAACAUCCUCCAGUUCCUUGACCUGCCAGCGAGGUGUGAGGUGUGAGCUGUUCCUCCGGAGCAGCUCCUUCCUGCCCGGCUCGCAGCCUAGGCUCUGCAUCCAGCCCUCACAGCACAUCAAACCCCACCACACGCCUGCUUUUCAUCUUGCUUAGUUCACUACAUGAUAACUAAAAUGUACGAGUACUUUUAUUUGUUUGAUCUUUGUUUUGUUCCAGAAAAUACUGUAUUUGUUUCAUAGGAAGAGGUUAGCCUCAUUUGAUCAGAAUUUACGGAUGUCUGAGCCAGGAUCCUGUCUGCUAUAGCACUCUGCCUCAGGCAUUCCAGAGAAAAGUUUCAGCACCUUCCACUAAGGAGAUGCAUUUAUUCUGUCUCUUUCCUAUUUCACCAGAAGAACUUACUUAAAUUUUCCCUCCACCAGCCUCUUUUACUACAAUUUGAACUGUUGUUUUUUUUCUUAGCUGAUUCAAUUUUAUGACCAUUUCCAUAUUGCCUGUUGUUACUGAAGCAUACAGGAUGGCAUUAAACACAUCAGUGUUCAGGUCAGCCUAAGAGUGGACUAAGCAACUUGAAUAAUAACUGCUACAGGCAGCAUCUGCUGUUUUUUGGCUGUUCUUCAGGAUACAUACUUUAAUUUUUGUUACUGAUUCUACUUUGCCUUACAGAGGUUAAAAUUGUAGUAAUGACAUGAUGGUAUUUACAUAACUAUUUCCCCUCCUAGUGUUCUCCAGAACCAAUAAAGACUCAGAGUGGACUUGGA